GAUGAACGCUGGCGGCGUGCCUAAUACAUGCAAGUCGAGCGAACGGACGAGAAGCUUGCUUCUCUGAUGUUAGCGGCGGACGUGUGAGUAACACGUGGAUAACCUACCUAUAAGACUGGGAUAACUUCGGGAAACCGGAGCUAAUACCGGAUAAUAUUUUGAACCGCAUGGUUCAAAAGUGAAAGACGGUCUUGCUGUCACUUAUAGAUGGAUCCGCGCUGCAUUAGCUAGUUGGUAAGGUAACGGCUUACCAAGGCAACGAUGCAUAGCCGACCUGAGAGGGUGAUCGGCCACACUGGAACUGAGACACGGUCCAGACUCCUACGGGAGGCAGCAGUAGGGAAUCUUCCGCAAUGGGCGAAAGCCUGACGGAGCAACGCCGCGUGAGUGAUCAAGGUCUUCGGAUCGUAAAACUCUGUUAUUAGGGAAGAACAUAUGUGUAAGUAACUGUGCACAUCUUGACGGUACCUAAUCAGAAAGCCACGGCUAACUACGUG
RNAcentral lists this ribosomal RNA (497 nucleotides) under uncultured bacterium. Its description in RNAcentral is "partial 16S ribosomal RNA". It matches the Rfam family "Bacterial small subunit ribosomal RNA", at positions 28 to 507 of the family's 1533-position model. The record is from RNAcentral.